UACGAAGGGGGCUAGCGUUGCUCGGAAUCACUGGGCGUAAAGCGCACGUAGGCGGCUCUUUAAGUCAGGGGUGAAAUCCUGGAGCUCAACUCCAGAACUGCCUUUGAUACUGGGGAUCUCGAGUCCGGAAGAGGUGAGUGGAACUCCGAGUGUAGAGGUGAAAUUCGUAGAUAUUCGGAAGAACACCAGUGGCGAAGGCGGCUCACUGGUCCGGUACUGACGCUGAGGUGCGAAAGCGUGGGGAGCAAACAGG
This 253-nucleotide ribosomal RNA is filed under the name uncultured bacterium. Its description in RNAcentral is "partial 16S ribosomal RNA". It matches the Rfam family "Bacterial small subunit ribosomal RNA", at positions 524 to 776 of the family's 1533-position model. The record is from RNAcentral.